AUUUAAAAAAAAAAUUUGGGGGGGGGGGUCUCUCUCUCUCUCUCUCUCUCUCUCUCUCUCUCUAAAUCUAGAGAGUGAGAGAGAGAGAGAGAGAGAGAGAGAGAUCGUUAAAAUGUCCCCAUAAAGGGAUAAUGAAAA
Molecule: non-coding RNA, 138 nt
Organism: Pelobates cultripes (western spadefoot toad)
Lineage: Eukaryota; Metazoa; Chordata; Amphibia; Anura; Pelobatidae
Source: the annotation of a GenBank genome assembly